Molecule: long non-coding RNA, 205 nt
Filed under: Prunus persica (peach)
Lineage: Eukaryota; Viridiplantae; Streptophyta; Magnoliopsida; Rosales; Rosaceae
Description: long non-coding RNA (PPER_LNC006379)
Source: RNAcentral
UUUGUUUCUUUACAGGAAAGGAUGCAGAUGAUGAUGAGGAGGAGAAGACUCUGAGAGUAUUGUUGUAAUUUGAGUAUUUUAGUGUUUGUUUUUAAUUUGAGAGUUUGUUUGGUUUUGUUCAUGUUAAUUUUUGUUCAACUCCAUCGUAUUUUCAAUUAUUGCACUUUGUGAUUGAUUUAUUUAUUUAUUUAUUUAUUUGUUCCUU